Molecule: ribosomal RNA, 154 nt
Filed under: Metastelma parviflorum
Lineage: Eukaryota; Viridiplantae; Streptophyta; Magnoliopsida; Gentianales; Apocynaceae
Description: 5.8S ribosomal RNA
Rfam family: 5.8S ribosomal RNA
About the family: 5.8S ribosomal RNA (5.8S rRNA) is a component of the large subunit of the eukaryotic ribosome. It is transcribed by RNA polymerase I as part of the 45S precursor that also contains 18S and 28S rRNA.
Source: RNAcentral
CACGACUCUCGGCAACGGAUAUCUAGGCUCUCGCAUCGAUGAAGAACGACUGCGAUAGUUGGUGUGAAUUGCAGAAUCCCGUGAACCAUGGAGUCUUUGAACGCAAGUUGCGCCCGAAGCCGUCAGGCCGAGGGCACGUCUGCCUGGGCGUCAC